AGCGAACGCUGGCGGCAGGCUUAACACAUGCAAGUCGAGCGCCCCGCAAGGGGCGCGGCAGACGGGUGAGUAACACGUGGGAACGUACCCUUUGGUUCGGAACAACCCAGGGAAACUUGGGCUAAUACCGGAUAAGUCCGCGAGGAGAAAGAUUUAUCGCCGAAGGAUCGGCCCGCGUCUGAUUAGCUAGUUGGUGUGGUAACGGCGCACCAAGGCGACGAUCAGUAGCUGGUCUGAGAGGAUGAUCAGCCACACUGGGACUGAGACACGGCCCAGACUCCUACGGGAGGCAGCAGUGGGGAAUAUUGGACAAUGGGGGCAACCCUGAUCCAGCCAUGCCGCGUGAGUGAUGAAGGCCCGAGGGUUGUAAAGCUCUUUCGGUGGGGAAGAUAAUGACGGUACCCACAGAAGAAGCCCCGGCUAACUUCGUG
This 431-nucleotide ribosomal RNA is filed under the name uncultured bacterium. Its description in RNAcentral is "partial 16S ribosomal RNA". It matches the Rfam family "Bacterial small subunit ribosomal RNA", at positions 29 to 507 of the family's 1533-position model. The record is from RNAcentral.